Molecule: long non-coding RNA, 558 nt
Organism: Homo sapiens (human)
Lineage: Eukaryota; Metazoa; Chordata; Mammalia; Primates; Hominidae
Source: Ensembl
UCCCGGUCAGGAAGCUUUAUGUUCUGGAUCAUCCAGGAGAGGGACAGAGGUGGUCGGUUGGUGCGACUCAUAAACAACCUCUUCAGCACAACCUGGUUGAAUGUGGAGUUGUUCCGUCUGACCAGAAACCUGUACAGUUUGACCAACAGCCUCAGGGUGUUGGUGUCCCUCUGUUGCCCAGGCUGGAGUGCAGUGGCAAGACUGGCUCACUGCAACCUCCACCUCCUGGGAUCAAGCGAUCCUCCCAUCUCAUCCUCCAGGAGCUGGGACUAAAGAAAGAAACUUAUAAUUCACACUUUUGUUGAUGAGGAGACCAGGACAGAAGAAGCAAGAGGACACUUGGUCAGCCAGAAAGCUUGUGCUGCUGAGUGAAGAAGGCAGAUUUGGUGCAUUGGAAGACAGCAACUGCAGAUGCAGAGGAACUGGAAGGGAAUCACAGCUGGUCAUGCCAAAGGGGCAGCCCAACCUAUGUUCAUUCAGCAACCAUGGCAGUUUCUCUACAUCUGUUUUCAAUUCGAGCUCCAGGUCAUGUUUUUCAGUUAGAAUAAAAUGUGAAAA